This 253-nucleotide ribosomal RNA is filed under the name uncultured bacterium. RNAcentral describes it as "partial 16S ribosomal RNA". It matches the Rfam family "Bacterial small subunit ribosomal RNA", at positions 524 to 776 of the family's 1533-position model. The record is from RNAcentral.
UACAGAGGGUGCAAGCGUUGUUCGGAAUUAUUGGGCGUAAAGCGCGUGUAGGCGGCUUUGCAAGUCGGGUGUGAAAGCCCUCAGCUCAACUGAGGAAGUGCGCCCGAAACUGCAGAGCUUGAGUACCGGAGAGGAUGGCGGAAUUCCCCAAGUAGAGGUGAAAUUCGUAGAUAUGGGGAGGAACACCGGUGGCGAAGGCGGCCAUCUGGACGGAUACUGACGCUGAGGCGCGACAGCGUGGGGAGCAAACAGG